RNAcentral lists this ribosomal RNA (497 nucleotides) under uncultured bacterium. Its description in RNAcentral is "partial 16S ribosomal RNA". It matches the Rfam family "Bacterial small subunit ribosomal RNA", at positions 28 to 507 of the family's 1533-position model. The record is from RNAcentral.
GAUGGACGCUGGCGGCGUGCCUAAUACAUGCAAGUCGAGCGAACGGACGAGAAGCUUGCUUCUCUGAUGUUAGCGGCGGACGGGUGAGUAACACGUGGAUAACCUACCUAUAAGACUGGGAUAACUUCGGGAAACCGGAGCUAAUACCGGAUAAUAUUUUGAACCGCAUGGUUCAAAAGUGAAAGACGGUCUUGCUGUCACUUAUAGAUGGAUCCGCGCUGCAUUAGCUAGUUGGUAAGGUAACGGCUUACCAAGGCAACGAUGCAUAGCCGACCUAAGAGGGUGAUCGGCCACACUGGAACUGAGACACGGUCCAGACUCCUACGGGAGGCAGCAGUAGGGAAUCUUCCGCAAUGGGCGAAAGCCUGACGGAGCAACGCCGCGUGAGUGAUGAAGGUCUUCGGAUCGUAAAACUCUGUUAUUAGGGAAGAACAUAUGUGUAAGUAACUGUGCACAUCUUGACGGUACCUAAUCAGAAAGCCACGGCUAACUACGUG